This is a long non-coding RNA of Piliocolobus tephrosceles (Ugandan red Colobus), 2340 nucleotides long. RefSeq lists it as uncharacterized. The record is from RefSeq and is a predicted model, not a curated record. The transcript is spliced from 3 exons. Lineage: Eukaryota; Metazoa; Chordata; Mammalia; Primates; Cercopithecidae.
CAGGCUCCAAGAGCUUAAGUACCUCACCCUAGGUACCAGGGUACCACACAAAAAACUAGUAAGUAGUGGGGACUCACACCUACCUCUGUCUGACUUAAAGCUCUGCCCUAUCCUACUAUCUAACUGCUUUGGUGCUCACCCUGUCCUUUAAUGCGGUUUUGGUGUUCACCAAGAGAGGCGAUGCAGGAAGAACAAGAACACUGAGGCUGUCCCUCCUUGGCAAUGGCCGUAGGGUCCUGAGUCCUUCAUUCUGAUGUUCUUGGCCCCCCGGAGCCGGCGUCUCCCCAGCUUCCGACCCCAGCCCCAGAAGUCCUGGUCUCAGCACAGCUCCAGCCGACCAGCUACAGGAAACCAGCUUUUCUCUUCCUCCCAAGAGCUAGAGGAAGAGGGAAACCGCCCACCCCCCUUCAGGCGCGCACACACCCCUCCCGACACAUCCCAGCACCCGCCCUUGGCUGAGUUCGCCCCCAGCCCCAGCGCCCCCAUUGCCAGGGUCCCCGCACUCGCCCCCAGUUCUCGGAUCCUCUCGCCUGAACAGAGAAUGGGGGUGGAGGGAGGAGUAGGAGACAGAGGAGAAAGGAGAGGGAACCGCCGUUCCUCUCUCGGGUCUUCCCCAGCCUGAGUUGAGGGGGGGAGGGGAGGAUGAGGCUGGCCCCCAUUUAACCUUCCGACCCCCUCAGUCUCUGACUUUCCUCCUGCUACACGUAGUUCAUUCGGCUUCUACCCGUUCUCUCGCCGCACAAUGGCCCCUACGGAUCCCGAGGUCUCCUGGAGCCCCCCAAAAGCCCUUCCUGGCCUCUGCGCCCCCUCUGCGCCCCCACCCGCCUCAGGUCCCAGCAGCCCACAGACUUCAGCCAGAGACCCUCAGCUCUCCAUUCACGCUCUCUCCUCUCUCUUGGCCCGGAGACCCCUGCCCAGACUUCUCCAGCUCCGUGUGCUCUCCCCACCCGACACAUGUCUCCCCACUGAUCGCAAACGCCAGGGCCCCUCCUCACCCGCCACGGUGCCCUCCCUACUCCAGCGCGGGCCCCCAACUUUAGCGCGGGCCCCCAACUGCAGCUCUAGUCCUUCCAAACUCCACCCUCAAACUCAAACUCUGGUCCCCUCCAGACCCCAGCCGCGCCCCCAGUCUCCAGGCGGCUACCCCACCCCCAUCCCGUCGCCAGCCCUCCUCACUCACCCGUCUGUUCCCGGCCGGUAAAACUCCACUGAGAAUCCGAAGAAGGAGCCCGGGGGCCCCGAGAGCACUGCUGGGGCCUCCGCGUCAAAGUUGAAGCCCCCGACCCUGGGUGGCGGCGGCAGCAGCAGCAGCAGCAGCGGCAGCAGCGGGGGUCGGCGCCGGGGGCCCCAGUGCAGCUGCACGGCGUGGAGAGGGGACUCUGGCGUCCGGCUCCCCAUAGCGCCCGCUCUUCCCUGUCCUGGGGCCACCGACCCGGAGCCGCUUCCUAAACCUCCCAGAGGCGAAUGACUCAACGCGGGGAGGAGUUUGCCAAACUCCCGGCUGAGCCCUCCCCCCGCCUGCCGAGGGGGCUGGCGGGGGGGCAUUCCUGGGUCCCUGGAACUCUGAGCCCGCGUCCCCCACCCCUAAGGGGCGUGGGGGGAGGCGCACCUCUCCAACCCCCUUUCUUUAGCCCCAGCUGGAAGCCGGUUGUCUGGACUGGGUUAGAUUGGGCGGGUUUGGGUUCUUCCCCCUCCUCUCUGCUUCCCCCUCCUUCCUCCCCACUCCUUUCCAGAUGUACAACGUAAACGCUCGGAAAACGAGUCGGAAAAGGGAGCGGAGAAUUUCCUAAUGAGGAAAGGAAUCACCUCUGGUGGGCGGAGGAAGCCUGUAUAUGUGUGUGGGGUCUCCCUCAGUGCUUUAGGGAGGAGACUUUGGGGUCUAAAGAGACAGGAGACUCCUCUGGCGUCCGGCCAACUGGGAUUCCCCCUUGCCUUCCGGGGCCACCGGGUGCCUGGGUUCUAGCCAGCUGGAUUUGGGACACAAGAGUUCAGGUACAGAUACAGCGUUCGCAGUCAGCUUGCUAGAGGACCUAUACCGGCUCCUCAAGUUCCGCUGCCCCCUCCUCCAAGCUGCUAGUAUUGAAAAUCCAGGAGUCUGGGGUCAUUCACCAGGAGGAUUCUGCUCCAGUUUGCCCCCUUCUUGGUCCUACGAACUAUAACUUGAGGAGGAACAAAGCCUUAGAAGAUUCUUAACCCCUGGACUCCAACGUUGAGGCUUACUAAACUGAGAUAAUAGUAUAAAAGAGGCCGGGCACGGUGGCUCAAGCCUGUAGUCCCAGCACUUUGGGAGGCCGAGACGGGUGGAUCACAAGGUCAGGAGAUCGAGACCAUCCUGGCUAA